UGCUAAAUUAUAAGGGGCUAUAUACUAAAACUGAAAUGAUUUAGAGAAAAUUAGUGGAGGACCUAAACAAAGAUGACGUGCAAAUUUGUGAAGCAUUUCAUUUUUUU
Molecule: small nuclear RNA, 107 nt
Organism: Vombatus ursinus (common wombat)
Lineage: Eukaryota; Metazoa; Chordata; Mammalia; Diprotodontia; Vombatidae
Source: Ensembl